This 69-nucleotide antisense RNA is filed under the name Saccharothrix variisporea. RNAcentral describes it as "Dactylosporangium variesporum ASpks TB sRNA". It matches the Rfam family "ASpks TB sRNA". The record is from Rfam by way of RNAcentral. Lineage: Bacteria; Bacillati; Actinomycetota; Actinomycetes; Pseudonocardiales; Pseudonocardiaceae.
CUUCACCGAGCCCAGCCACAGCGGUGUUUCCCGGUCCUGGCCGUAGGUGGCGAGGAUCGCCUGAGCCUC